This 447-nucleotide ribosomal RNA is filed under the name uncultured bacterium. RNAcentral describes it as "bacterial SSU rRNA". It matches the Rfam family "Bacterial small subunit ribosomal RNA", at positions 355 to 825 of the family's 1533-position model. The record is from RNAcentral.
UCGGGAAUUUUGGGCAAUGGGCGAAAGCCUGACCCAGCAACGCCGCGUGAAGGAUGAAGUCUCUCGGGAUGUAAACUUCGUAAGAAUAGGAAGAAUAAAUGACGGUACUAUUUGUAAGGUCCGGCUAACUACGUGCCAGCAGCCGCGGUAAUACGUAGGGACCAAGCGUUGUUCGGAUUUACUGGGCGUAAAGGGCGCGUAGGCGGCGUGGUAAGUCACUUGUGAAAUCUCCGAGCUUAACACGGAACGGUCAAGUGAUACUGCUGUGCUAGAGUACAGAAGGGGCAAUCGGAAUUCUUGGUGUAGCGGUGAAAUGCGUAGAUAUCAAGAGGAACACCUGAGGUGAAGACGGGUUGCUGGGCUGAUACUGACGCUGAGGCGCGAAAGCUAGGGUAGCAAACGGGAUUAGAUACCCCUGUAGUCCCUGAGCGGGCUGGCAAGGCGCAU